Molecule: ribosomal RNA, 532 nt
Filed under: uncultured Massilia sp.
Lineage: Bacteria; Pseudomonadati; Pseudomonadota; Betaproteobacteria; Burkholderiales; Oxalobacteraceae
Description: bacterial SSU rRNA
Rfam family: Bacterial small subunit ribosomal RNA
Source: RNAcentral
CCUGAAUCCGCCAAUGCCGCGGUGCAGUGAAGAAGGCCUUCGGGUUGUAAAGCUCUUUUGUCAGGGAAGAAACGGUGGGUGGCUAAUAUCCUCCGCUAAUGACGGUACCUGUAAGAAUAAGCACCGGCUAACUACGUGCCAGCAGCCGCGGUAAUACGUAGGGUGCAAGCGUUAAUCGGAAUUACUGGGCGUAAAGCGUGCGCAGGCGGUUUUGUAAGUCUGACGUGAAAUCCCCGGGCUCAACCUGGGAAUUGCGAUGGAGACUGCAAGGCUAGAAUCUGGCAGAGGGGGGUAGAAUUCCACGUGUAGCAGUGAAAUGCGUAGAGAUGUGGAGGAACACCGAUGGCGAAGGCAGCCCCCUGGGUCAAGAUUGACGCUCAUGCACGAAAGCGUGGGGAGCAAACAGGAUUAGAUACCCUGGUAGUCCACGCCCUAAACGAUGUCUACUAGUUGUCGGGUUUUAAUUAACUUGGUAACGCAGCUAACGCGUGAAGUAGACCGCCUGGGGAGUACGGUCGCAAGAUUAAAACUC